UCUCAAUUUAUUUAGUACGAAAGGACCAAUAAAUUUAUUUUUAAUAUUCUUAUGGCAGAUAAUUGCAUUAGAUUUAGAAUCUAUCCAUUCUAUUAUCUCAUCUUUCUCUAUUUCUGUUAUUUCUAUUAUUUGUAUCUUAGUCGCAGUAGCAUUUUACACCAUCUUAGAACGAAAAAUUUUAGGAUAUAUUCAAAUCCGAAAGGGACCCAAUAAAGUCGGCUUUUUGGGGAUUUUUCAGCCUUUUGCUGACGCAGUUAAACUUUUUAAUAAAUCUUUAUCAUCUUCUGAUUCUUCUAACUUUUCAAUUUCAUUUUUAACUCCUGGAAUCAGUUUAUUUUUAGCUCUAAUCUUAAUUCCUCUUUUUCCUUUUAAUGAUUUUCAAACCUUAGAUAAUAAGCAUAAUAUACUAGCUUUUUUUAUUAUUUCAAGUUUAAGAGUAUAUUCUAUUUUAAUAAUUGGCUGAUCCUCAAAUUCUAAAUAUAGACAAAUUGG
RNAcentral lists this ribosomal RNA (492 nucleotides) under Cyrtophora cylindroides. Its description in RNAcentral is "partial 16S ribosomal RNA". The record is from RNAcentral. Lineage: Eukaryota; Metazoa; Arthropoda; Arachnida; Araneae; Araneidae.